CUGCGUAGACCCUAUCACAUCAUUGCCAUAAUCGCCUUCGAGUAUCUGAAACCCUUCUCCAACUUAAAUCACACCUGUCCCUAUAAGCCUCGCACUUCGGUGAACAUACGCAAUUUCGAGCUGAAUGUGGAUGCUUUGCGCUCUCGUUUUCCCUUUGAGAAUGGCGAAUAUGCAGUUAGCGUAUCAUUUCUUAUAAAUAACAACUUGAAGCUAUCGGUUAACGGUUCGAUAUAUCAUUUUAAUUACAGGGAGCCCUAAUCCAACUGUAUGUAGUCCAAAUAUAAUUGAGAAUUUUGAAAAAAUUUA
Molecule: long non-coding RNA, 306 nt
Organism: Drosophila montana
Lineage: Eukaryota; Metazoa; Arthropoda; Insecta; Diptera; Drosophilidae
Exons: 2
Source: RefSeq, a predicted model, not a curated record